RNAcentral lists this long non-coding RNA (1356 nucleotides) under Zonotrichia albicollis (white-throated sparrow). RNAcentral describes it as "lncRNA (ENSZALG00000009249.1)". Lineage: Eukaryota; Metazoa; Chordata; Aves; Passeriformes; Passerellidae. The record is from RNAcentral.
AUGGGGGCUCCCUCCAGGUCCUGCUCCGUGCUUCCCUCCUGCCUCCUUGGGAUCUCCCAUAAUCACAGGGUGCCCUGGGGCUGUGAGGGUGUGCCUGGACACAGAUCUGUGUCAUUGCAUGGAUGUUCAUCCACACACACUUGGAUCUUGUGGGAAGCCUGGGAAGGGGGCACUGAGACACAAGGAGCUGGGUUUUUAUCUCCAGGGUCAAGGCCAAGAGCAGCAAGGCCUGGUUCCAGGGGGAUGGUUCUGGAAUGUUCUGUGCAGUGGCUCUGCCUGCCUGGGCAUCCAUCUGGGCAUCUGGUGAUCCCGCUGUGCCAACUGCUCCACACUGGGGUGGGAGGGAAGGGGGUCCUGGGCACAGUUAGAGCUGAACCUCAUCCCUUUGGCCAGUCCUGGGCAGUCCCUGGGUCGUGGCACGCCUGUCCUGGGUGGGAUGUGGGAAGAAUGGAAUGGGCUCCUUGGGCAUGGGAAAGCCUGUGGUGUUGGAGUGUCCCCAUCACUGGCACUUCGGGUGCCCCUUCCCAGUGUCCCGGCUCCUGUGGGGGCCCCUGGGUGCAGAGGGAGGGAGGGCAGCAGGGUGGAGGGCUGGGAAUCCCCGAUCCCAGUGUGUGGAGCUGUGAUCCCGUGGCAGUGCUGGGAUUGAGCAUUCCUGGGGCUCAGGACAGGCCGGGGGGUCUGUACCCCCUCAAUCCAGGGUUAUCCAGAGGUGUGUCCAGAAUUGCUGCGUGUCCCAGGCCAGAGAUCCCACUGCACCCUGCAAGGGCAACCAGCAGGGAAUAUUCCCAUCAUUCCCUCAGCAAUUCCACAGCCAAAAACUUCCCUAAACCAGAAUUCCCUCUCCUCCUGAGUCAGGCAAAAUCCCGGGUGUUUGUUGGGGUCCUGUGUCCUCAGCAAAGCCCAAGGGAAAUUGCCCAAGUGUCCCAAGGCUUGGCUGUCCCUGGGAUGGAAUCCCAAGGUUUCACCCCGAGGUUCCAUCAGGAACAUCUCUUGGAGAGCUGCAGGUGUGCAGGGAGUGGAAACCCUGGGGGCACAGAUUGGAAAAAAAAGAAAAUAAAAACCCCAAAAAGCCCAGUGUUGCCCUCAGUGUCUGUUCCAAAGGGCUUGGGCAUCCCAGUUCCCAAACCUCGCAGUGAAAGGUUUGGAGUGAAGGUGCAGGGACAUUCCCAAAGAACAUAUCUGAAGGAAAUAUCAUUUAAAUUACUUUCUUGUUCUCCAGUGGCAUCCCAGAGUCAUUUUUCCCACACUGGCCAGGGAGCUGUCAUUAAAAUCCUGAUUUAUCAGUGGCAAUCCUUGGAGCUCAUCCCUGUGCCAGGCCUUGAAAUCCCAACCCCUCGGGGACCCCCCUCAUCCUGA